UGCUGGGGUUGGGUGAGUGAAGACUCAGCCCCACUGGCCCGGCCACCAGGCUGCCAUGUGUCAGUGUGGUCAUCAGGAGGCCUGGGGUGGACAUGAUUAGUGAUCGGGCUUUGUUACAGGCGCCUUGCCUCUGAGAGGUCCCAGCA
This is a small nucleolar RNA of Homo sapiens (human), 146 nucleotides long. Lineage: Eukaryota; Metazoa; Chordata; Mammalia; Primates; Hominidae. The record is from RefSeq and is marked validated.